This 73-nucleotide transfer RNA is filed under the name Felis catus (domestic cat). It matches the Rfam family "tRNA". From Rfam's summary of the family: Transfer RNA (tRNA) molecules are approximately 80 nucleotides in length. Lineage: Eukaryota; Metazoa; Chordata; Mammalia; Carnivora; Felidae. The record is from Rfam by way of RNAcentral. RNAcentral also lists the same sequence under 2 other names.
GCCUAGCUGGCUCAGUCGGUACAGCAUGUGACUCUUGAUCUUGGGGUUGUGAGUUCAAGCCCCGUGUUCGGUG